Molecule: ribosomal RNA, 253 nt
Filed under: uncultured bacterium
Lineage: Bacteria
Description: partial 16S ribosomal RNA
Rfam family: Bacterial small subunit ribosomal RNA
Source: RNAcentral
UACAGAGGUCCCAAGCGUUGUUCGGAUUUAUUGGGCGUAAAGGGUGCGUAGGCGGCGGAGUAAGUUGGGUGUGAAAUCCCGGGGCUCAACCUCGGAAUGGCAUUCGAUACUGCUUCGCUCGAGUACUGGAGAGGAGGCUGGAAUUUACGGUGUAGCAGUGAAAUGCGUAGAUAUCGUAAGGAAGGCCGGUGGCGAAAGCGAGCCUCUGGACAGUUACUGACGCUGAUGCACGAAGGCCAGGGGAGCAAACGGG